UAGAAUCGGAGCUACGGAUCAGCCUCUACCACAGCUCACAGCAACGCCAGAUCGCCAACCCACUGAUUGAGGCUGGGGAUCGAACCCGUGUCCUCAUGGAUGCUAGUCGGAUUUGUUUCUCCUGUGCCCCAACUGGAACUCCUGUGCCCCCGAUUUGAACGAGUGAACAAGACAAUACAAAGAGCAUAGAAAUGGCUGCACUCUGGGCCUGGCUCCAUGUCCCAUCUGGGAAAAAGGUGUAACAUCCCCUUCCUGGUGGACGUCGGAGUUCAGACGUGGUACCUGGUGAUUUCACCCGCUCAGUCUCUCGGCUGCGUGCAGACACUGCGGAGGUCCUCAGAGCCAGGAACGACUCACGUGCCCAGAAGCCACACUGCCCACCAAACUGCCGACACCUGCCCACAGGUGCCUGGACAUUCUUUGAGCUAAGAUUCAGAGAUGUGGGCUCCUCUCCUCUCCAGGGAAAGUUGGGGGGAAGCGAACUCAAACUCUGUUGUUGGUCUACACUGCCUUUCGCCAGAGGAGCAGAAGAACAAACAGAAGCCACAUGUCCUGUGCCAAAUGCCUGGCCUGUUGACAGAUCUGCUGUCUUGGUGCCACUUCAUAGGCACAGCCCGCCUUCCUCCUUAUGUAGCCACUUCUUAAAAUGUAUGCUUAAUUUCACAAAUCCUCUUCCAGGCCUGUUCCGAGCACUUUAAAUCCAUUGAUUCGGUUAAGCCUCCCACUGUCAUUCUGCCCAUCUUACAAGGGAGGAAACCAGGACUUGGAGGGGGUUAGGAAACUUGCCCACAGUCGUACCAUUUGUCAGUUCUAUGGUGGUUCCGUGGUGAUUGUACUUCAACUUUGAGGAAAUUUCAUAGAGAUGGGACCUAGCACCUGCAGGGCCUUAAAUCAUCGGCCUCAGGGAAUUCCCAUUAUGAUUCAGUGUUAACAAACCCGACGAGUAUCCAUGAGGAUGCAGGUUCAACCCCUGGCCUCGCUUGGUGGGUUACGGAUCCGGCGUUGCUGUGAGCUGUGGCAUAGGUCACAGAUGUGGCUUGGAUCCUGCAUUGCUGUGGUUGUGGUGUAGGCCAGCAGCUAUAGCUCCAAUUAGACCCCCCUAGCCUGGGAACUUCCAUAUGCCGUGGGUGUGGCCCUAAAAAAAAAGACAAAAAAAAACAAACAAAAAAAAAAGUUGGCCGUAGGCCUUGGCCAGCUCCGAAAUGACCUCCUCUUUUUCUGCGUCAUCUCCCUGUAUUGGACACUAUGGAGAGGUCAGCCUAACUCUUCUUUCUCACUCUUCACCUCCAGCUGUCCUCUGCUGGCCACUCACAGCUGUCCCUUUCAGAUGGCUGCUCUCAGAGUUUCCUGCCUCCAAAAGGGGGGAUCGUCUCUUUUCAAAGACCCCUAGGAACACGUCAGACAGAGUCAGGAUUGAUUUCCUGGCUCGCCACACCCGAGGGGGAAGACAAUGGAAGAACAGUGGACCAGGGGGCUCACAGUCAGAGGAAGUCGGGAGGGGCCCAGUGUAAGAUUUGGGCUAAUUCUAAGAAGGAAGUGCUGCAGAUUUGGCCAGUAAAAAUACAGGAUACCAGGAGUUCCCCAGUGGCUCAGUGGGUUAAGGAUCAGGCAUUGUCACUGCUGUGGCACAGGUUCAGUCCCUGGCCUGGGAACUUCCACAUGCCACAGUCACAGCCAAAAAGAAAAAAGAAAAAGAAAAAGAAAAAAAAAAAAGCAGCUGAAUUUGAAUUUCACAUAUAGCAUAAGUACAUCCUAUGCAAUAUUUGGGACAUCCUUAUACUACAAAAUUAUUAUUUAUCCAGAAUUCAGAUUUAACCAGGCAUCCUGUCUCUUAUCUGGCAACGCUGCAGGGGGAUUCAGGUGUCAUCAGGAAGCAAGGCAAUCUGGCGGUUGGGUAGCUUAAUAAUUUUUAUCCAGGAGACAGGAGGGAACUCCUGUCCACGUGGGAAUUUCCAUUUGCUGAGCCCCAAAACAGUAAAUAAAUAAAUAAAUAAAG
Non-coding RNA from Sus scrofa (pig), 1996 nucleotides. The record is from RefSeq and is a predicted model, not a curated record. NCBI's taxonomy places the organism in Eukaryota, Metazoa, Chordata, Mammalia, Artiodactyla, Suidae.